This is a long non-coding RNA of Oreochromis aureus, 1155 nucleotides long. RefSeq lists it as uncharacterized. Lineage: Eukaryota; Metazoa; Chordata; Actinopteri; Cichliformes; Cichlidae. The record is from RefSeq and is a predicted model, not a curated record. The transcript is spliced from 4 exons.
ACUCAGGUUCUUAAAGGAGGUUGGCAGCACCUGCUCCACACAAGAGCAUCAGACCCCCCAGCUCACAAUUAACAUCACACCCGCUUAAGAACAGAAAACACAUGUAUUAGAAAAAAUAAAGAAUUACAGCUCAACAACAAAUAAUUACACAACAUAUGAGACAUUACACAAGUACUGUCACGGUCCUGGGUCGGUGACCCAGUGUUUUGAGUUUCUUGUGUCUCUGAGUUAUGUAUUGUGAUCUUAGUUCCCUUUGUUCCCCCAGUUUAUUCUUUAGUCUAGUGUCUUAGUUUGGUUUUCUUGUAUUCUCUUUAGUUCUGAGUAUUUAAUAGCUGCCCUCUGUGUCUCUUUGUUGUUGUUCUGUGUUUCUUAGUUGCUCUGUCUCCCCUAGUCUAGUUUGCGUCUGUGCCACUUCCUGUUUUACUUUGAAGGUCCAUGUCUCUUGCGAGUGUAUUCUACUUUGCUCCCUCGUCUCGUCAGUUCUGAUUUCUCCCAGCUGUGUCUCAUUCCCCUCGUUACUUCCCAGUGUAUUUUAGCCCUCUGUUUCCCUGUGUCAGUGUCGCGUUCUCCCCCAUGGCUGUGUUUUCCUAUGUGUCAGUUUAUCUAUGUCCCAGUUUAGUUUUGUUAUAUUUUUUGUGCUAGCCUGCAAUAAAGCAGUGUUUUGAGUUCACUUUUGUCUUGGAACAGUGCAGCAUCCAGCAAGUAGGAGCGUCACCUGGAGCGAUGAACCUUCACCAUGAGGAAAAACGCCGCCAAGUCACCAGACCACAAGUGGAGAGCAGGAGGCAGCAGCUCCAGAGAAAGCAGGAUGUGCAGCCUCAGAGAGGAGGAGGCUGCAGCUGCAAUUGUCAUGGCUGUGUGCAGGCAGGCAGGAAAAGGAUCCAAACGCAGACUCCAAAACACAGAAGAAAAACUCAAAACACUUUAUUGCUGGCAACAACAAAACAGAGACCUAAACCUAAAACAGGACAGAAAACACAAUUUCCCGGAGCUGUGACCCUGGACCCCUGAGUGCGAGUGGAGCUGUUCAGCGUGAAGUUGUGUGUGCGAGGAGCGUGGAGAGUGUGUGAGGACCUUGUGUUUCCCUACCCUGUGGACCAUAUUCCCCCCCACGUGUAUAUAGAGCACCUGGUGUGGUUAAUAAAGCUAAGUUAA